This 1343-nucleotide ribosomal RNA is filed under the name uncultured bacterium. RNAcentral's name for it is "16S ribosomal RNA". It matches the Rfam family "Bacterial small subunit ribosomal RNA", at positions 28 to 1378 of the family's 1533-position model. The record is from RNAcentral.
GACAAACGCUGGCGGCGUGCUUAACACAUGCAAGUCGAACGGAAAGGCCCUGCUUUUGUGGGGUGCUCGAGUGGCGAACGGGUGAGUAACACGUGAGUAACCUGCCCUUGACUUUGGGAUAACCUCAGGAAACUGGGGCUAAUACCGGAUAGGAGCUCCUGCUGCAUGGUGGGGGUUGGAAAGCUUCGGCGGUUGGGGAUGGACUCGCGGCUUAUCAGCUUGUUGGUGGGGUAGUGGCUUACCAAGGCUUUGACGGGUAGCCGGCCUGAGAGGGUGACCGGCCACAUUGGGACUGAGAUACGGCCCAGACUCCUACGGGAGGCAGCAGUGGGGAAUAUUGCACAAUGGGCGGAAGCCUGAUGCAGCAACGCCGCGUGCGGGAUGACGGCCUUCGGGUUGUAAACCGCUUUCGCCUGUGACGAAGCGUGAGUGACGGUAAUGGGUAAAGAAGCACCGGCUAACUACGUGCCAGCAGCCGCGGUGAUACGUAGGGUGCGAGCGUUGUCCGGAUUUAUUGGGCGUAAAGGGCUCGUAGGUGGUUGAUCGCGUCGGAAGUGUAAUCUUGGGGCUUAACCCUGAGCGUGCUUUCGAUACGGGUUGACUUGAGGAAGGUAGGGGAGAAUGGAAUUCCUGGUGGAGCGGUGGAAUGCGCAGAUAUCAGGAGGAACACCAGUGGCGAAGGCGGUUCUCUGGGCCUUUCCUGACGCUGAGGAGCGAAAGCGUGGGGAGCGAACAGGCUUAGAUACCCUGGUAGUCCACGCUGUAAACGGUGGGUACUAGGUGUGGGGUCCAUUCCACGGGUUCCGUGCCGUAGCUAACGCUUUAAGUACCCCGCCUGGGGAGUACGGCCGCAAGGCUAAAACUCAAAGGAAUUGACGGGGCCCCGCACAAGCGGCGGAGCAUGCGGAUUAAUUCGAUGCAACGCGUAGAACCUUACCUGGGUUUGACAUGGAUCGGGAGUGCUCAGAGAUGGGUGUGCCUCUUUUGGGGUCGGUUCACAGGUGGUGCAUGGCUGUCGUCAGCUCGUGUCGUGAGAUGUUGGGUUAAGUCCCGCAACGAGCGCAACCCUUGUUCACUGUUGCCAGCACGUUAUGGUGGGGACUCAGUGGAGACCGCCGGGGUCAACUCGGAGGAAGGUGGGGAUGACGUCAAGUCAUCAUGCCCCUUAUGUCCAGGGCUUCACGCAUGCUACAAUGGCUGGUACAGAGAGUGGCGAGCCUGUGAGGGUGAGCGAAUCUCGGAAAGCCGGUCUCAGUUCGGAUUGGGGUCUGCAACUCGACCUCAUGAAGUCGGAGUCGCUAGUAAUCGCAGAUCAGCAACGCUGCGGUGAAUACGUUCCCGGG